This 1065-nucleotide long non-coding RNA is filed under the name Sinocyclocheilus anshuiensis. Its description in RNAcentral is "lncRNA (ENSSANG00000019769.1)". Lineage: Eukaryota; Metazoa; Chordata; Actinopteri; Cypriniformes; Cyprinidae. The record is from RNAcentral.
CUACAUUUGAGAGGGUGGGCCUAUUUGGAUGAACCGAUUCACUACAAUGAAUCGGAUUUACGUCACACAUGUGAAAGGGAGAGAACCGUUUAGGAGAGCGCGUUUGAUCGCACAACCGGUUUCAUAAAGUACCUCUUUAUUGUUAAAAAUACGCAGUUAUGAAAAUAACAGAGCUACUGUCACGCUACUGAAACAUGUGUGGCAGGCUCUCCAGACCAGGACGAGUGGUGGAGGUCCUCAGCACCACUCUGCCAGUCCCUGUGAUCCGCAAGACAACCGGUUUGCUCCAGAUGUGCUGAGAUUUAUUCUGUGGUGGGGCUGUUUCUGUGCCUGGUGACUUCUCUACAGACUGUGCCAAGAAAGCCUGGCUGGUUGUUGAGCGGCAGCGUCUGAGACGGGCUCAGCUGGCUGUGCUAAAAGAUAAGAAAAAGAGAACAGAAAGCUCUCCCUCUCUUUCUGUUUCUAUCCAUUUCUCUCUCUCUCUAAAACCCAGAGGAGCUGACCUGCAUUAAGACAUCAGGAAGAGUGGGGCGGUUAAUAGGAUGGAUACAGGCAAACAUCUUCAGAAGCUUGUUAAAGAGAGCAGCGUUGGCAGCGAUUUAGAAAAUCAGCUAUUAUAGUUUAAUGAGGUUCAUCAAAUCCGAGUUGGCAAAUUAUAGCAUUCUGGCCCCCUCCCAAAAAACAUCUCUUUUGCUCUGUGACAUCUCCAUCUCCGUGUACUAAUGCGUUUAUAAGCUGUGUAGAAUUCACAAAGGCAGUCAGUAUGUGAGCCUUAUCGCAUGAAUGAAGCAUCCCUGGCCAAGAUUUUCCAGCCGUUACAUCAGAACACCUCUCCUCCAAAAGCAGUUUGCCAUAGGACUAUCUGACCGGAAUUUCCACAUCCACUGCAAUUUUGUGAUGACCCCUGCACUUCAAAGCUUAUGUAUGCAUAUACAGUGUACCAAGUAAGACAACAUACAUAUAUCAGAUGAUCUGAAUCAGGGGUGUCCAGUGCCUGUUUUUUCUAAUUUUUUUGUAACAAAAGUUUUAAUAUUAUGUUGUUACUGUCAUAUGACAACAUAAGAC